Molecule: long non-coding RNA, 330 nt
Filed under: Populus tremula
Lineage: Eukaryota; Viridiplantae; Streptophyta; Magnoliopsida; Malpighiales; Salicaceae
Description: long non-coding RNA (PTRE_LNC002416)
Source: RNAcentral
AGUUUUUGAGGACAUACCUGAAUCUUCCCUCUGAAAUUGUUCCUGCCACUUUGAAGAAACAAUCAAAGCCUGCUGGUGGUCGGCCAUUUGGUGGCCCACCUGGUGACCGUCCCCGGUAAUUUACAUUAUACUGACCAUUUGCUGAUUUUAAGUGUUUUCCUAUCUUUUCAUUGAUUUUUUAGAAUUCUCUAAUUAACAUGUGGUGUUUACUUUGGUUUCUAGUGGCCCACCUCGCUUUGAAGGAGACCGCCCAAGAUUUGGUGACCGUGAUGGUUAUCGAGGGGGCCCUCGAGGGGGUGAAGGUGGCGAGAAGGGAGGAGCUCCAGCAGA